This 253-nucleotide ribosomal RNA is filed under the name uncultured bacterium. Its description in RNAcentral is "partial 16S ribosomal RNA". It matches the Rfam family "Bacterial small subunit ribosomal RNA", at positions 524 to 776 of the family's 1533-position model. The record is from RNAcentral.
UACGGAGGGUGCGAGCGUUAUUCGGAAUUAUUGGGCGUAAAGGGCGCGCAGGCGGCCUUGUCAGUCAGAUGUGAAAGCCCGGGGCUUAACCUCGGAAGUGCAUUUGAUACUGCAGGGCUUGAGUAUGGGAGAGGGAAGUGGAAUUCCUGGUGUAGAGGUGAAAUUCGUAGAUAUCAGGAGGAACACCGGUGGCGAAGGCGACUUCCUGGACCAAUACUGACGCUGAGGCGCGAAGGCGUGGGGAGCAAACAGG